RNAcentral lists this ribosomal RNA (783 nucleotides) under uncultured crenarchaeote. Its description in RNAcentral is "bacterial SSU rRNA". It matches the Rfam family "Archaeal small subunit ribosomal RNA", at positions 79 to 846 of the family's 1478-position model. Lineage: Archaea; Thermoproteati; Thermoproteota. The record is from RNAcentral.
AUAAUUACUGCUCAGUAACACGUAGUCAACCUGCCCUAGAGACAUGAAUAACCCCGGGAAACUGGGAUUAAUACAUGAUAGAUCAUCUCAUCUGGAAGGAGAGAUGGUUUAAAGGGGUGCGCGAGCUUCUUUUGUGCAUCCGCUCUAGGAUGGGACUGCGGCCGAUCAGGCUGUUGGUGGGGUAAUGGCCCACCAAACCUGUAACCGGUACGGGCCUUGAGAGAGGGGGCCCGGAGAUGGACACUGAGAGAAGGGUCCAGGUCCUACGGGGCGCAGCAGGCGCGAAACCUUCGCAAUGCGCGAAAGCGUGACGAGGUUAAUCCGAGUGGUUCCCGCUGAGGGAAUCUUUUGUGGCUCUAAAAUGGCCAGUGAAUAAGGGGAGGGCAAGUCUGGUGUCAGCCGCCGCGGUAAUACCAGCUCCUCGAGUGGUCGGGGCGAUUAUUGGGCCUAAAGCAUCCGUAGCCUGUUCUGUAGGUCUUCUGUUAAAUCCAACGGCUUAACCGUUGGCCUGCAGAAGAUACCGCAGGACUAGGAGGCGGGAGAGGUGGACGGUACUCCACGUGUAGGGGUAAAAUCCUUUGAUCCGUGGAAGACCACCAGUGGCGAAGGCGGUCCACCAGAACGCGCUCGACGGUGAGGGAUGAAAGCUGGGGGAGCGAACCGGAUUAGAUACCCGGGUAGUCCCAGCCGUAAACGAUGCGAGCUAGAUGAUCCAAUCCCAAAUCGCGAUUGGAGUGUCGCAGGGAACCCGUUAAGCUCGCCGCCUGGGGAGUACGGUCCCCC